Mauremys mutica (yellowpond turtle) is the source of this 1560-nucleotide long non-coding RNA. RefSeq lists it as uncharacterized. Lineage: Eukaryota; Metazoa; Chordata; Testudines; Geoemydidae. The transcript is spliced from 4 exons. The record is from RefSeq and is a predicted model, not a curated record.
GAAACCAGCCCAGCCCCAGAGUGAGUGUUGACAAGGACACUGUGAUGCUCUGCCUGGCCAUGAGGAAGCGCAUAGUGGGUUGAUGCAGACUGGCUGAAUGAGGGAGCCCACCUGAGGAGGAACAAGCUGGACUGGGACUAUAAAGACACGAGAUUGGAAGCAAAAGGACUGUCAUCCCUCCCAGGGCCCCGCCCUUCCUAAAGCCGGCCCUGCUCCUGAUUCGCAACCCCAUGGACCAGGCGGCAGCUAGUCCUGAGCAGGAGCCCAGAUGGUUACGUUGUGCGGCAGAAACUGCAACUGGUUGCAAAACGGGAGGGUUUCGCAAUGUGUCGUUACACCGGCAGGAGAUCGGCGCUGCCGGCAGCCUCGGGAGCUGCGGGGCAGGGCCCGGCCAACCUGCCGCCGGAGGCGCUGAGGGAGCCUGGGAGACUCUCGGAUCAGGCCCGUGGUCCGGAAGGGGAGCCCGGCUGGGCUCCGAGAAGAUGGUUUCCCCCAGCAGGGUGAUCGCACCAGCUGCUGGGUUUAAUCCGGUUCAGUCUCAGCGGGCUGGUUUCUCAGCCCCAGGAGUCAGCGGUGAAGAGAUCUGCAGGCCCCACACAGAGCUCAGGAAAGCAGCCGGGAUCCCCUGACAUCCCCAGGCAGGUGUCCCAGCCCAGAGGAAGCGCAGAGGCCUUGGAGGGCUGUCCGAGGCAGCGCCCCAGAGGCAGCCCUGUUGAACGAGGUGCGCGCUCAGCAAGGGGCGUGACACCAACGCUUGGGAUUUCGAUCACACGCAUCCAGUGCCCAGGUGGCUGAGAAGAAAAUCAUGAAAACGUGACCCCAGACGUUUGAAAGCCCAGCAGACUGCGAACGAGACCACAACAGGCAUUAGAACGGCUGUGCCUCAUGGGGAUCCAGGCGAGCGUUAGUGUCCAAACUGGAGUCCCUUAAGCAAGCUCGACCCAGAAAUACACCUCACAGCAGCGUGUUAUGAGCCCUGGGGCUCAGACGUGGCUCUGAUCCUGCCCAGCCUGGUCUCCCCUGCCGGGGAUUGAUCUCAGCCAGCGUCCGGCCCCCACGGCCCCUUUGGGCGGUGACGCUAUCUGGGGUAAUGACGGUGACGCCAGCUGGCUAGAGAACGGGAAGUGGGCACAGGCUGGGUUGCAGGCUGGAGGGUUUGCAGACAGUGGCUCCGGGUGUCGAGCUGUGCCCAGGCCGGGUGGGGAGCUGAGAACAGGCCCGCUCGGUGCAUGGCACAGGCCCACAAGCACUGGCAGCACAGGGGCGGGGGGCAGGAACACCCACGAGAUGACAGGGGCAGGUCACACGUCUCCGUGCCAGUGUGUCAGGCUGUGUGGUCUCCCUGGGGCAGGGUGUUCUCACGCCGCUCAGGCCACCACACCUCCCCCAGCCUCCCGUGCCGCAGGCGGCCUGGAGAGCCCCUUCCCCCCGCAGCAGGCCCACAUCUGGGGGAGGGGCUCUGCCCUGCCACCCCCUGCCUCCAGCUGGUCCAGCCCCACCCCACGGACCCUCCAGCCUUACCCGGGCACAGCCCCACAGGGCCGACUUUUCCUGCUGUCU